UACGAAGGGGGCGAGCGUUGUUCGGAUUUACUGGGCGUAAAGGGCUCGUAGGCGGCCAACUAAGUCAGACGUGAAAUCCCUCGGCUUAACCGGGGAACUGCGUCUGAUACUGGUUGGCUUGAAUCCGGGAGAGGGAUGUGGAAUUCCAGGUGUAGCGGUGAAAUGCGUAGAUAUCUGGAGGAACACCGGUGGCGAAGGCGGCAUCCUGGACCGGUAUUGACGCUGAGGAGCGAAAGCCAGGGGAGCAAACGGG
Molecule: ribosomal RNA, 253 nt
Filed under: uncultured bacterium
Lineage: Bacteria
Description: partial 16S ribosomal RNA
Rfam family: Bacterial small subunit ribosomal RNA
Source: RNAcentral